GGUUAAGCGACUAAGCGUACACGGUGGAUGCCCUGGCAGUCAGAGGCGAUGAAGGACGUGCUAAUCUGCGAUAAGCGUCGGUGAGGUGAUAUGAACCGUUAUAACCGGCGAUUUCCGAAUGGGGAAACCCAGUGUGUUUCGACACACUAUCAUUAACUGAAUCCAUAGGUUAAUGAGGCGAACCGGGGGAACUGAAACAUCUAAGUACCCCGAGGAAAAGAAAUCAACCGAGAUUCCCCCAGUAGCGGCGAGCGAACGGGGAGGAGCCCAGAGCCUGAAUCAGUGUGUGUGUUAGUGGAAGCGUCUGGAAAGGCGCGCGAUACAGGGUGAGAGCCCCGUACACAAAAAUGCACAUAUUGUGAGCUCGAUGAGUAGGGCGGGACACGUGGUAUCCUGUCUGAAUAUGGGGGGACCAUCCUCCAAGGCUAAAUACUCCUGACUGACCGAUAGUGAACCAGUACCGUGAGGGAAAGGCGAAAAGAACCCCGGCGAGGGGAGUGAAAAAGAACCUGAAACCGUGUACGUACAAGCAGUGGGAGCCUCUUUAUGGGGUGACUGCGUACCUUUUGUAUAAUGGGUCAGCGACUUAUAUUCUGUAGCAAGGUUAACCGAAUAGGGGAGCCGAAGGGAAACCGAGUCUUAACUGGGCGUUAAGUUGCAGGGUAUAGACCCGAAACCCGGUGAUCUAGCCAUGGGCAGGUUGAAGGUUGGGUAACACUAACUGGAGGACCGAACCGACUAAUGUUGAAAAAUUAGCGGAUGACUUGUGGCUGGGGGUGAAAGGCCAAUCAAACCGGGAGAUAGCUGGUUCUCCCCGAAAGCUAUUUAGGUAGCGCCUCGUGAAUUCAUCUCCGGGGGUAGAGCACUGUUUCGGCAAGGGGGUCAUCCCGACUUACCAACCCGAUGCAAACUGCGAAUACCGGAGAAUGUUAUCACGGGAGACACACGGCGGGUGCUAACGUCCGUCGUGAAGAGGGAAACAACCCAGACCGCCAGCUAAGGUCCCAAAGUCAUGGUUAAGUGGGAAACGAUGUGGGAAGGCCCAGACAGCCAGGAUGUUGGCUUAGAAGCAGCCAUCAUUUAAAGAAAGCGUAAUAGCUCACUGGUCGAGUCGGCCUGCGCGGAAGAUGUAACGGGGCUAAACCAUGCACCGAAGCUGCGGCAGCGACACUAUGUGUUGUUGGGUAGGGGAGCGUUCUGUAAGCCUGUGAAGGUGGCCUGUGAGGGUUGCUGGAGGUAUCAGAAGUGCGAAUGCUGACAUAAGUAACGAUAAAGCGGGUGAAAAGCCCGCUCGCCGGAAGACCAAGGGUUCCUGUCCAACGUUAAUCGGGGCAGGGUGAGUCGACCCCUAAGGCGAGGCCGAAAGGCGUAGUCGAUGGGAAACAGGUUAAUAUUCCUGUACUUGGUGUUACUGCGAAGGGGGGACGGAGAAGGCUAUGUUGGCCGGGCGACGGUUGUCCCGGUUUAAGCGUGUAGGCUGGUUUUCCAGGCAAAUCCGGAAAACCAAGGCUGAGGCGUGAUGACGAGGCACUACGGUGCUGAAGCGACAAAUGCCCUGCUUCCAGGAAAAGCCUCUAAGCAUCAGGUAACAUCAAAUCGUACCCCAAACCGACACAGGUGGUCAGGUAGAGAAUACCAAGGCGCUUGAGAGAACUCGGGUGAAGGAACUAGGCAAAAUGGUGCCGUAACUUCGGGAGAAGGCACGCUGAUAUGUAGGUGAAGCGACUUGCUCGUGGAGCUGAAAUCAGUCGAAGAUACCAGCUGGCUGCAACUGUUUAUUAAAAACACAGCACUGUGCAAACACGAAAGUGGACGUAUACGGUGUGACGCCUGCCCGGUGCCGGAAGGUUAAUUGAUGGGGUUAGCGGUAACGCGAAGCUCUUGAUCGAAGCCCCGGUAAACGGCGGCCGUAACUAUAACGGUCCUAAGGUAGCGAAAUUCCUUGUCGGGUAAGUUCCGACCUGCACGAAUGGCGUAAUGAUGGCCAGGCUGUCUCCACCCGAGACUCAGUGAAAUUGAACUCGCUGUGAAGAUGCAGUGUACCCGCGGCAAGACGGAAAGACCCCGUGAACCUUUACUAUAGCUUGACACUGAACAUUGAGCCUUGAUGUGUAGGAUAGGUGGGAGGCUUUGAAGUGUGGACGCCAGUCUGCAUGGAGCCGACCUUGAAAUACCACCCUUUAAUGUUUGAUGUUCUAACGUUGGCCCGUAAUCCGGGUUGCGGACAGUGUCUGGUGGGUAGUUUGACUGGGGCGGUCUCCUCCUAAAGAGUAACGGAGGAGCACGAAGGUUGGCUAAUCCUGGUCGGACAUCAGGAGGUUAGUGCAAUGGCAUAAGCCAGCUUGACUGCGAGCGUGACGGCGCGAGCAGGUGCGAAAGCAGGUCAUAGUGAUCCGGUGGUUCUGAAUGGAAGGGCCAUCGCUCAACGGAUAAAAGGUACUCCGGGGAUAACAGGCUGAUACCGCCCAAGAGUUCAUAUCGACGGCGGUGUUUGGCACCUCGAUGUCGGCUCAUCACAUCCUGGGGCUGAAGUAGGUCCCAAGGGUAUGGCUGUUCGCCAUUUAAAGUGGUACGCGAGCUGGGUUUAGAACGUCGUGAGACAGUUCGGUCCCUAUCUGCCGUGGGCGCUGGAGAACUGAGGGGGCUGCUCCUAGUACGAGAGGACCGGAGUGGACGCAUCACUGGUGUUCGGGUUGUCAUGCCAAUGGCACUGCCCGGUAGCUAAAUGCGGAAGAGAUAAGUGCUGAAAGCAUCUAAGCACGAAACUUGCCCCGAGAUGAGUUCUCCCUGAGACUUAGAGUCUCCUGAAGGAACGUUGAAGACGACGACGUUGAUAGGCCGGGUGUGUAAGCGCAGCGAUGCGUUGAGCUAACCGGUACUAAUGAACCGUGAGGCUUAACCUU
RNAcentral lists this ribosomal RNA (2903 nucleotides) under Escherichia coli. Its description in RNAcentral is "23S ribosomal RNA". It matches the Rfam family "Bacterial large subunit ribosomal RNA". Lineage: Bacteria; Pseudomonadati; Pseudomonadota; Gammaproteobacteria; Enterobacterales; Enterobacteriaceae. The record is from RNAcentral.